Long non-coding RNA from Raphanus sativus (radish), 661 nucleotides. RefSeq lists it as uncharacterized. The record is from RefSeq and is a predicted model, not a curated record. The transcript is spliced from 2 exons. Lineage: Eukaryota; Viridiplantae; Streptophyta; Magnoliopsida; Brassicales; Brassicaceae.
GUUCCUAAUCCUAUUUUGUCUCGAUCACAAGCUACUUGUUCCAUACUUAAAUACAUUGAAGAUAAGAUGACUACAGUGGUAACUAGUUAAGUCGGCUGAUUAAUGAGCCCAUUCGUUUCUCUGAGCCAAGAAUAUGGAACUAAUAUGUUUGGCACUGAAGAACACUACUGAAGAAGCUUGUUGCAAGUGACAACGCCAAUGGCUGCAGCUAGAUGCCAACCAGCGUAGAUGAAUGGUGUUUCAGGGAAAAGAUCGUCAGCUAUGAACAAAGCUCCACCCAAUGACGUAGACAUCUUGUGUUUAAGCUAGGCGAGAUUUGAGGGAAGAGAAACCUUGCUACGCUGAGAGAUCGAAGUCAGAGAGAAAAGCUGUGGAAGAAGACGAAGAGAAGAUCAACAACAGUCACCCAUCUUCUUCUUUCUUUGACUCCUUAAAGGCAUAUUCCAUAACGUUUGCCCGGUUCUCGUACCAGAUCCCGAUUUAAUUCCUUCCCGAUUUUUAGUCUCGGAUAUGGGCCCAUCGAGCCCAGUGUUUGUUGGCUGGAUUUGGAAAAGUUUAUAAUAUAGUCAAAGUUUAUAAAUUAACUAGGGAAACAAAAUGGAAAAACAAUUAAAAUAUAUUUUAAAUUUUAAUAAAAAAAAAUAUUUUAUUUUAUUUUCAA